Drosophila mojavensis is the source of this 2497-nucleotide long non-coding RNA. RefSeq lists it as uncharacterized. Lineage: Eukaryota; Metazoa; Arthropoda; Insecta; Diptera; Drosophilidae. The transcript is spliced from 3 exons. The record is from RefSeq and is a predicted model, not a curated record.
UUUAAUCAUUAUAGUUUGUUAUUAAAUUUAAAUAUCCAUGAAUUUAAUUUAUAAAUGCAGUGUGAUCAUAAUCAUUAGCUAUGCAAACCAGUUGAGAACUGUGAGUAUGCCUGUACACUUAUUUAAGCAAUUUGAUGCGUAUGUAUACCCCAUUUAUGGCAGUGUAUGCACUCCGUGCCGUGUGUUUUUGUAAUGGAUUAUAAUCACACAGUUGCAGUUUAUACAAUCGGACAUUAAAAACGUGGUCAUAGCUCCAUUUGGACGAAAAUGAAAUCAAAUCUCUUUCGUAUGUGAAACUGUCGCACACUUCUGGCCCAUCCGGUUAGCGGCUAGUGGAGGCCGAAGUUACGCUGCUGGAGCUGGGCCUGUGACAGUGACUUGGGGACUGGGGCUGGGGCUGGGGCUGGGGCCGUGGCCGGGGCUGAGGUUGUAGCCAAGUUGAGCACUCGCUAGAUCACUCGAUUCCCCAUAAUUGAAACGGGUUUGCCACAAGUGAGCAUGUUUUUUGUGUAAUUCGACGUCGUCGUCAUCGCCAUGGACGAUGUUUCGCAGUUGAGUGUCGGUUAUAAAUUUGGCGGACGUCAUCCGCUUACAGUGAAAACCAGACGAACGCAAUUCCAGUUUGCCUGACACCGAUGAACUCGAAAGUGUGACAUACGACCAUUAAUUACGACUUUUGUAGUUAGCCAGCCAGGCUAGCUAGCUAGCUAGCUUGCCAACACCACAGAAAUGCCAAAAGACCGUUGCCAAAUGAUGAGCUGGCAGUCAAUUGGCCCCGAGGUACGCGUAGGCGCGCGAUGUGCAGUCCAGCCAGUGCUGUCAUGGGAACUGCAGCCAUUUGCUGCACAGGCCGCACAUAAAUAAGGCGGACAACUCGCAUGCAGAACAAAAGGAGCUGCUGCAGAGGCAGCUACUGGGCAGAGUCAGAGAGAGCUGAAUUCGUACAGCUCAGAUUUGCUUCGUCUACUUCCAACUGCUUUGGUCGCUUGUUAGUCAUUUGUCUGCAUUUGCAGCUCAUUUGUUUGCUUGGCUUGUUCAGAGUGCGCCGAACAAAAUGUUUUGCAUAUGUCAGAGAGACGCAUAGUCCGAGUCAGUGUCCAGCGCCGCAUGCCCAUCAAUCUGGGGCAUCAAUUUGGGAAAUGCAUCAAAGUUGGCAGCCCGAACAGCUUGAUUAGUUGUACGGCUCACAGGCAGCAACAACAGCAACAGCAACAGUAACAGCUACUACAACAAGAACAACAACAACAUUCGUUGCAUGUGGCUCAUUAGUUUGGUGCCGCUGAGGAGGCUGUGAAAUUGGGAAUCGUCUGGUGUCUACAUCAAAAUUAAGUUUUAAUAAUUGGCUCACAUUUAUAUGCUGGCUUAAUUUGAUUGUGCCGUCGAAUGUUUUCGACUGCGAUCAAUUAAUCAUAGCUCGUUGAUUGUUCUUCUUUCAGCUCUGCUCUGGGCAGUGGGCGUGCCGGUCCUAAUGAAGUUGUGCCCACAGCUCUCCUACAGUCCCAGGAGCGAAUGAUGCCAACUCGUUAAGCGGCUGUUAAUUUCAAAUUUCAAUUGUUAGCUUUCGCCAAUUACCCGAACGUAAACGUUUUGAUUUUCUUUUUAUUUUUGUUUAUUUUUUGUGUGUAUAUCAAGACAAUAUGUGUGCCAAGCAGAUUGUGAGCCUGGCCAGACCUUUUGUCGCCGUCCCGCAAUGAAGUUCACGUCCUGUGCAGCAGCUCCAGCUCGCUGGCUGGGAUAAUGCUAAUCAGUGUCAUCGCAUCAGCGGCAAAAGUGUUUGGAUAUUUGUUUAAUGAAAGCGAAACGCAAGCAGUCACAGACACAUACACAGACACAGGUACAGCCACAGCUCCCUUGGCCUCCUAUCGUGCUGCAAAAAUCAAGUCAUUGGCUUUGGAGCUCGCUCGUCCGACGCGUCCUAUUCCCGGGCUGUUUCGUUGGCAUGCAUUCGUUGCGCAAUUAAUUAAGUUGAGCAUUUUUAAAUGUGUUCGCUGCUUGCUGGCUUUUGCGGGUCGGGUGUUACCAUUUUAAUGCCCAGCGCAGUUCACAGUUCCACAAAGCCAACAGCAACAACAACAACAUCUUGAACAAGUUCUUUAACAUGUCUAAUUAGUUGUUGGACCCUGGACGAUGCUGCUCUUGCUGCUGCGUGCGAUAAAAAAAAUGCAUGGCACUCAUUUAGUGUUUUCUUAAGCUGAGACAUAAAUUUGCAAGCAGUUAAAAGGGUCUGAGCUGGCCAAGCGAUGUGAUUGCUUUUCGCGUAUUUUGCUGACCAGAUAAAAGACACAUCAUGGAGCUGCCUGUGAUCUCAUUUUGGAGCCUAUGCUGAUCGUACGGGACAGGCCAAAUGUGACAGCAGAAGAUUUCAGUUAUAUAAUGCAUAUAGACCCAAUGAUCUGUAAGUUUAUAUCUACAUUUUGAUAGGCACUUUAGAGUAAUUUUGCUACAAUCAUAUUUAUUGGCAAAUUUACUAAUUGUUUAGUUAAAGACAGAUUGCAAA